AUCAAAAACAUGAACUUGAGUCGGAUUCGUUAAGCGAUACUGACGUGCAAAUCGUUCGUCUGACUUGGGUAUAGGGGCAAAAGACUAAUCGAACCAUCUAGUAGCUGG
This 108-nucleotide ribosomal RNA is filed under the name Triticum aestivum (bread wheat). RNAcentral describes it as "rRNA LSU_rRNA_eukarya". It matches the Rfam family "Eukaryotic large subunit ribosomal RNA", at positions 843 to 954 of the family's 3401-position model. The record is from RNAcentral. Lineage: Eukaryota; Viridiplantae; Streptophyta; Magnoliopsida; Poales; Poaceae.